AACGAACGCUGGCGGCAGGCCUAACACAUGCAAGUCGAACGCCGUAGCAAUACGGAGUGGCAGACGGGUGAGUAACGCGUGGGAACAUACCCCUCGGUUCGGAAUAACUCAGGGAAACUUGAGCUAAUACCGGAUACGUCCGAGGUUUUAAUCGGCCUUGGAGAAAGAUUUAUCGCCGGAGGAUUGGCCCGCGUCUGAUUAGCUUGUUGGUGAGGUAAUGGCUCACCAAGGCGACGAUCAGUAGCUGGUCUGAGA
This 255-nucleotide ribosomal RNA is filed under the name uncultured bacterium. RNAcentral's name for it is "partial 16S ribosomal RNA". It matches the Rfam family "Bacterial small subunit ribosomal RNA", at positions 29 to 297 of the family's 1533-position model. The record is from RNAcentral.